UACGAAGGGUGCAAGCGUUACUCGGAAUUACUGGGCGUAAAGCGUGCGUAGGCGGUUCGUUAAGUCCGAUGUGAAAGCCCUGGGCUCAACCUGGGAACUGCAUUGGAAACUGGCGGGCUGGAGUGCGGUAGAGGGUGGCGGAAUUCCCGGUGUAGCAGUGAAAUGCGUAGAUAUCGGGAGGAACAUCCGUGGCGAAGGCGGCCACCUGGACCAGCACUGACGCUGAGGCACGAAAGCGUGGGGAGCAAACAGGAUUAGAAA
Molecule: ribosomal RNA, 261 nt
Filed under: uncultured bacterium
Lineage: Bacteria
Description: partial 16S ribosomal RNA
Rfam family: Bacterial small subunit ribosomal RNA
Source: RNAcentral